GCCCGGCUGGCACAAUUGGUCAGCGCGUGAGACUUUUAAACCCUAAACAGGGUUUCAAGGGAUCUCAAGGUUGUGAGUUCGAGCCUCACGUCGGGCG
Molecule: non-coding RNA, 97 nt
Organism: Aplosporella prunicola CBS 121167
Lineage: Eukaryota; Fungi; Ascomycota; Dothideomycetes; Botryosphaeriales; Aplosporellaceae
Source: the annotation of a RefSeq genome assembly